GACAGAGGGGGCAAGCGUUGCUCGGAAUUACUGGGCGUAAAGGGCUCGUAGGCGGCCAACUAAGUCAGACGUGAAAUCCCUCGGCUUAACCGGGGAACUGCGUCUGAUACUGGAUGGCUUGAGAUUGGGAGAGGGAUGCGGAAUUCCAGGUGUAGCGGUGAAAUGCGUAGAUAUCUGGAGGAACACCGGUGGCGAAGGCGGCAUCCUGGACCAACACUGACGCUGAGGAGCGAAAGCCAGGGGAGCAAACGGG
Molecule: ribosomal RNA, 253 nt
Filed under: uncultured bacterium
Lineage: Bacteria
Description: partial 16S ribosomal RNA
Rfam family: Bacterial small subunit ribosomal RNA
Source: RNAcentral